This 74-nucleotide transfer RNA is filed under the name bacterium. Its description in RNAcentral is "tRNA-Cys". It matches the Rfam family "tRNA". Rfam says of the family: Transfer RNA (tRNA) molecules are approximately 80 nucleotides in length. Their secondary structure includes four short double-helical elements and three loops (D, anti-codon, and T loops). The record is from RNAcentral.
GGUGACGUAGCCAAGCGGUUAGGCGAGGGUCUGCAAAACCCUUCACGGCAGUUCAACUCUGCCCGUCACCUCCA